Molecule: ribosomal RNA, 301 nt
Filed under: uncultured bacterium
Lineage: Bacteria
Description: partial 16S ribosomal RNA
Rfam family: Bacterial small subunit ribosomal RNA
Source: RNAcentral
CAGUCGCCGCGGGAAUACGGAGGGUGCAAGCGUUAAUCGGAAUUACUGGGCGUAAAGCGUGCGUAGGCGGUUCGUUAAGUCUGUUGUGAAAGCCCCGGGCUCAACCUGGGAAUGGCAAUGGAUACUGGCGAGCUAGAGUGUGUCAGAGGAUGGUGGAAUUCCCGGUGUAGCGGUGAAAUGCGUAGAUAUGCGGAGGAACACCGAUGGCGAAGGCAGCCCCCUGGGCCAACACUGACGCUCAUGCACGAGAGCGUGGGGAGCAAACAGGAUUAGAUACCCGCGUAGUCCCUGUCUCUUACAC